Molecule: long non-coding RNA, 1426 nt
Filed under: Ananas comosus (pineapple)
Lineage: Eukaryota; Viridiplantae; Streptophyta; Magnoliopsida; Poales; Bromeliaceae
Description: long non-coding RNA (ACOM_LNC036705)
Source: RNAcentral
UUUAAACCUAGUUUAAACUAGUUUAAACUACAAGCUCGUCAAAAACUUUAAACCUAAACUAGGCUAAUGGCUAGUUUAAAGUAGGUUUAAACCUAGUUUAAAACAUAAUGGCGCAAGUUUUGUAGGUCAUUAUGUAACAUAAUGGCACAAGUUUUGUAACAUAAUGAACUACAAUCUUGUCAAAACAAGUUUAAACUACAAGUUUUUGCCACCGUUUGGUUCGGGGUUAAGAAAAAGUAGCUAUUCCAGGGAUAGGGUUAAGUUCAGGGUUAAGAUGGUGUUAAAAUUUUUUUGUGUUUGGUUGGAGGUUGGAGUUAGUCUAGGAUAGUGAAAAAAAGUAUUUGGUUAGAGUAGGUGGGAUAAAAAGAUAAUGAUUGAUAAAGAAGAAAAAAGGUGAGAGCUCGGGAUGCGUGCGGGGUUAAAGUUGGGAAGGGGAGUGGGGUUAAUGAUUGAUAAAGAAGAAAAAUGUGAGAGCUCGGAAUGCGUGCGGGGUUAAAGUUGGGAGGGGGAGUGGGGUUAGUAAACCCCACUAACCCGGUUUGGGGUGGGGUUUACUAACCCCACCCCAAAUGAGUGGUGUUUGGGUAUAAAUUGGGGGUUAAGGGGUUAUUCCACCCCUUAACCCCCAACCAAACGGUGGCUUAAUAGGCUAAUGGCUAGUUUAAACCUAGUUUAAACUAGGUUUAGGGUUUAGGGUUUAGGGUUUAGACCUAAAUAGGCUAAUGCCAAAAAAACUACAAGUUUAAACCUAAAUAGGCUAAUGGCUAGUUUAAAACUAGUUUUAACUAAAUUUAAGCAUAGUUUAAACCUAGUCUAAACUAACAAUACGAACAAUGCUAACAAUGCUAACAAUGUGGGUUGGUACCUGCAAUGUGGGUUGGUGAGGGAAGGUUGGCACGGGUGGCAGAUGCGGGGGUCGACGGCGAACUGUCACGGGGUUAGCUUUUUCGCCUCAAAAUUCCCCGCGCGGCGCUCAAGUGUCGCACACCCGAGCCAGCCUUCUCGAGUCCCUUACACGGACAAGUCUCCCAGACUUAACAGCGGAAUACCAAUCCAAGCAUUUUGCCAAGCUUGCUCCUCCCCGAGACUUACAGCCCGACCCUUCGCCUGUAAUCGAACCCCUCGUCGAACUCCCUGAGUUCCCAACGAGCAACCCCAAUACCGAGGUUGGCCACCAAGCUAGGUGUCUCCCGUCUUGCCAACUGAUCUCUCAUCGAGAGUGCUUCAUAACCGAAUGCCUUGCUGCCUUCGUCGCCAGUCCAAGGACAUUACAAGUUCUCCCCCAACUUGUCCAAUAUGAGUAUAGCCAAGCGUCUCGCCUCCCACGCGUUUCGCUCCCGCGACUCAACCCGCACGCCUCAAGCGUCGAGGUCCGGGCUCCGCGACAUCGCAUGCCACGAAGGGCACUCAUAACCAUAAGUUCCUC